RNAcentral lists this ribosomal RNA (468 nucleotides) under uncultured bacterium. RNAcentral's name for it is "partial 16S ribosomal RNA". It matches the Rfam family "Bacterial small subunit ribosomal RNA", at positions 28 to 507 of the family's 1533-position model. The record is from RNAcentral.
GACGAACGCUGGCGGCGUGCUUAACACAUGCAAGUCGAACGGAAAGGCCCUGCUUUUGUGGGGUGCUCGAGUGGCGAACGGGUGAGUAACAAGUGAGUAACCUGCCCUUGACUUUGGGAUAACUUCAGGAAACUGGGGCUAAUACCGGAUAGGAGCUCCUGCUGCAUGGUGGGGGUUGGAAAGGUUCGGCGGUUGGGGAUGGACUCGCGGCUUAUCAGCUUGUUGGUGGGGUAGUGGCUUACCAAGGCUUUGACGGGUAGCCGGCCUGCGAGGGUGACCGGCCACAGUGGGACUGAGGUACGGGCCAGACGCCUACGGGAGGCAGCAGUGGGGAACAUUGCACAAUGGGCGGAAGCCUGAUGCAGCAACGCCGCGUGCGGGAUGACGGCUUUCGGGUUGUAAACCGCUUUUGCCUGUGACGAAGCGGGAGUGACGGUAAUGGGUAAAGAAGCACCGGCUAACUACGUG